GUAAGUAUAGUUUAGCCAAAACAUCAGAUUGUGAUUCUGAAAAUAGAGGUUAAAACCCUCUUACUCACC
RNAcentral lists this transfer RNA (69 nucleotides) under Triplophysa nanpanjiangensis. Its description in RNAcentral is "tRNA-His". It matches the Rfam family "tRNA". Rfam says of the family: Transfer RNA (tRNA) molecules are approximately 80 nucleotides in length. Their secondary structure includes four short double-helical elements and three loops (D, anti-codon, and T loops). The record is from RNAcentral. Lineage: Eukaryota; Metazoa; Chordata; Actinopteri; Cypriniformes; Nemacheilidae.